AGGAUAAACGCUGGCGGCGUGCAUGAGACAUGCAAGUCGAACGGACACUUGGGGCUUGCUCCAAGUGUUAGUGGCGGACGGCUGAGUAACGCGUAGGUGACCUGCCCCGAAGUGGGGAAUAACUGCCCGAAAGGGUGGCUAAUACCGCAUGUGGUGGUGUGUUCAUUCACACCAGUAAAGCCGCAAGGCGCUUCGGGAGGGGCCUGCGUCCGAUUAGCUCGUUGGUGGGGUAACGGCUCACCAAGGCGACGAUCGGUAGGUGGUCUGAGAGGACGAUCACCCAGACUGGGACUGAGACACGGCCCAGACUCCUACGGGAGGCAGCAGUCGGGAAUUUUGCGCAAUGGACGAAAGUCUGACGCAGCAACGCCGCGUGAGGGAUGAAGGCCUUCGGGUUGUAAACCUCUUUUUAUCAGGGAAGAUAAUGACGGUACCUGAUGAAUAAGUCACGGCUAACUACGUGCCAGCAGCCGC
Molecule: ribosomal RNA, 474 nt
Filed under: uncultured bacterium
Lineage: Bacteria
Description: SSU rRNA
Rfam family: Bacterial small subunit ribosomal RNA
Source: RNAcentral